UACGUAGGUGGCAAGCGUUGUCCGGAUUUACUGGGUGUAAAGGGCGUGUAGGCGGGUUAGAAAGUCAGAUGUGAAAUACCGAUGCUUAACAUCGGGGCUGCAUUUGAAACUUCUAAUCUUGAGUGCAGGAGAGGAAAGCGGAAUUCCUAGUGUAGCGGUGAAAUGCGUAGAUAUUAGGAGGAACACCAGUGGCGAAGGCGGCUUUCUGGACUGUAACUGACGCUGAGGCGCGAAAGCGUGGGUAGCAAACAGGAUUAGAUACCCUGGUAGUCCACGCUGUAAACGAUGAAUACUAGGUGUAGGGGGUAUCGACCCCCCCUGUGCCGCAGUUAACACAAUAAGUAUUCCACCUGGGGAGUACGAUCGCAAGAUUGAA
RNAcentral lists this ribosomal RNA (376 nucleotides) under uncultured bacterium. RNAcentral's name for it is "bacterial SSU rRNA". It matches the Rfam family "Bacterial small subunit ribosomal RNA", at positions 524 to 898 of the family's 1533-position model. The record is from RNAcentral.